UACGGGGGGGGCAAGCGUUGUUCGGAAUUACUGGGCGUAAAGGGCUCGUAGGUGGCCAACUAAGUCAGACGUGAAAUCCCUCGGCUUAACCGGGGAACUGCGUCUGAUACUGGAUGGCUUGAGUUUGGGAGAGGGACGCGGAAUUCCAGGUGUAGCGGUGAAAUGCGUAGAUAUCUGGAGGAACACCGGUGGCGAAGGCGCCACUCUGGGCCGUAACUGACGCUGAGGAGCGAAAGCGUGGGUAGCAAACAGG
This 253-nucleotide ribosomal RNA is filed under the name uncultured bacterium. RNAcentral's name for it is "partial 16S ribosomal RNA". It matches the Rfam family "Bacterial small subunit ribosomal RNA", at positions 524 to 776 of the family's 1533-position model. The record is from RNAcentral.